RNAcentral lists this ribosomal RNA (162 nucleotides) under Utricularia reniformis. RNAcentral describes it as "5.8S ribosomal RNA". It matches the Rfam family "5.8S ribosomal RNA". From Rfam's summary of the family: 5.8S ribosomal RNA (5.8S rRNA) is a component of the large subunit of the eukaryotic ribosome. It is transcribed by RNA polymerase I as part of the 45S precursor that also contains 18S and 28S rRNA. The record is from RNAcentral. Lineage: Eukaryota; Viridiplantae; Streptophyta; Magnoliopsida; Lamiales; Lentibulariaceae.
GACUCACGGCAACGGAUAUCUCGGCUCUCGCAUCGAUGAAGAACGUAGCGAAGUGCGAUACUUGGUGUGAAUUGCAGAAUCCCGCGAACCAUCGAGUUUUUGAACGCAAGUUGCGCCCAAAGCUUUCCGCCAAGGGCAUGCCUGCCUGGGCGUCACGCAUCA